Molecule: small RNA, 95 nt
Filed under: Proteobacteria bacterium CAG:495
Lineage: Bacteria; Pseudomonadati; Pseudomonadota
Description: rpsB sRNA
Rfam family: rpsB sRNA
Source: Rfam by way of RNAcentral
CACACGCAGGUAUCUGGGGCUGCUUUUAAGCCUCACUCCGGUGUCUUAAAAGACCGUGAGCCUGCGGAGGAUUAACCGGAAAAUAAAGGAAAUUU